AUGCGUCUCCUGCUCCACGUUGAGUCCGUUCACCUCGACGACGCGGUCCCCGGCGCGCAGCCCCGCCGCCUCGGCGGGCGAGCCGGGCUCCACUUUGCGGAUGAACUGGCCGCUCUUGCCCUUCUCGCCGUGCAGGUGAAAGCCGUAGCCGCUCUCCCCCUUGAGCAUUCGGCACAGCCGCGGCUUCAGCUGGUCCUUAGCCAUGGCCGGCGGCGGAGCGGCGGCGGCGGCAGCGGAGGCUGGGCGGGCGCGGGGCCGCUUUUAUGGGCGGCCCGGGGCGGGCGCCGAGGGGCGGGUCGGGACCAGGGCCGGCGCCGAGGCCGAGGCCGGGGCUGGGGCUGGGGCUGCGGCUGCGGCCGGCGGUGGGAGCGGGGCAGGAGCAGGGCGAGGGGCCGGGGCGAUGCGCAGCUCGGCCAUGCUGUGGCUGCCCCGCGGCACCGGGAGCGCGGCGGGCGGGGACGGCGGCGGGACGGGAGGGGACGGGGCGGAGCCGCAGCGAGGGACGGGGCGGGCGGGGCGAGACCGGCAUCGGAACCGGCACCGGCACCGGCACCGGCACCGGCACCGGCAGCAGCAGCCGAUGGAGCCCCGGGGCCAAAACCCUCCCAGCAGCAGCCAUCUGGUUGGAACCCUGUGGCGCAGGGUGCCUGGAGAAGCUGUGGCUGCCCCUGGAUCCCUGGGAGUGUCCAAGGCCAGGUUGGACGGGGCUUGGAGCAGCCUGGGAUAGUGGAAGGUGUUCCUGCCCAUGGCAGGGGGUGGGACUGGAUGGACUUUAAGGUCCUUCCAACCCAAACCAUCCCAGGAUUCGAUGAAUCCUGGUGGGGAAAGGCUCCCACUCCAUCCCAGCUGACCUUUGGAGAGGCCAUCCGGGUUUCACCUGGACUGAGUUUGUUUAAUGAAACACAGAGAUCCCCAUCUUCACCCUUUUGCAUUCCUCGUCUUCAUUUCCUUGAAAUCUUUUAUAAGGUGGGUGUGACCCAGACCAGCUGUCACAGUGAUGGCACUGAGUGUCACAUUUCUUUGACACAGGUUCUCAGGCCUUUCUCUGCAGUUUCUCCUUCCUUAACAGCUUUCCUACCAGAUUUUACAGUGCUGAAGCAAACACAGCAGCCAGUU
RNAcentral lists this long non-coding RNA (1116 nucleotides) under Corvus moneduloides (New Caledonian crow). Its description in RNAcentral is "lncRNA (ENSCMUG00000016891.1)". The record is from RNAcentral. Lineage: Eukaryota; Metazoa; Chordata; Aves; Passeriformes; Corvidae.